This 4693-nucleotide long non-coding RNA is filed under the name Capsicum annuum. RNAcentral describes it as "long non-coding RNA (CANN_LNC013116)". The record is from RNAcentral. Lineage: Eukaryota; Viridiplantae; Streptophyta; Magnoliopsida; Solanales; Solanaceae.
UUAUUGUUAUUAAUAAUUCUCUCUCUACAAUCCUUGAGAUCUAGGGUUUUCGUUCAUCUUCCAAGGCUGCGAUCUGACGAUUACUAACACCAACAUAGUAUCAGAGCAGAGAUCUACGGUCCUCACAUCUUCCUCUACCUUCCGAUGUUACCCUCGAAGGGUUUUCAUCGUAUAAUUUUCCGGCGACGAUUGGUAUUUUGAUGAUUUUGUAUAGUUUUCUGGUGCUUACUCGUUUAUAUCAUCUGCUCUUCCUAUUCGACGCUUUGAUUCUUCAACUCAGAACAAAGGACGGUACCCCUUAUUGUUUUACGGAUUUCUCUUAUAUAUUUGUUGUAUUCUUGACCCUGGAACAUUGUUUGUUGAUACGAUUUUCUCUUAUGUAUUUGUUAUAUCUUCGAUCCUGGAACAGUUUUUGCCAGAGGCUGUUAGAUUGUUGAUUUUGCCUUUAAUAGAGUAAUACGACUAUGUCUACUGAUAAUAGCACCACUAGUCAGGGUUUUAAGGAGUUUACGGUUUCACCUACCCACCCUUUCUACCUUCACCCAUCGGAUAAUUCGGGAUCUAGGUUGGUUUCGCCUCCUUUUGAUGGUUCUGGUUUUAUCAUCUAGCGUAAGAACAUGCUUACUGCCUUAUAUUCCAAGAACAAAUUGGGGAUUGUCACUGGCACCGUCCCCAUACCCAUGGCCAACUCUCCUCAAUUUCUUUUUUAUGAGAGGUGCAAUGACAUGAUCAUUGCAUGGAUUACCAACGUGCAAUGACAUGAUCAUUGCAUGGAUUACCAACUCUUUUUCUCAUGAUUUGGCCACCAAUGUCAUGUGUUUUGACACUACUAAAGACAUCUGGAAGGACAUAAAUGACUGUUUUGGCCAAUCAAAUGGAACCAAAUAUAUAUAGAUCCAAAAGGAGAUCAACUCUACUGUUCAGGGAUCUUUAAAAAUUACUUCUUAUUUUACUCGUAUGCGCAGUUUAUGGGAUAAAUUGCAUAUAUCUUAUGUGGGUCCAAUUUGUACGUGUGGUGCCUUAGGCAAAUUUAUUGAAUAACAAAAGUUGUUUCAAUUAUUGAGUAGACUUAAUGAUGAGUACUCCAUGUGUAGAAGUAACAUUCUCAUGAUGCCCUCUCUUCCUACUCUUAGUAAUUCCUAUUCUAUGCUUCAGCAUGUUGAGAACUAAAAUCAAUCAUCUGCUAGUUCUCCCUGCUUUUCUAGUGAUUCAGCAUCUUUUAAUACUUCAUCUUAUAACCCAUCUUUUGGAAAAGGUUCUUCUCAGAAAGUCCACAAUGAUGCUAGGAAAGGUUUCCAGUCUUCCCAACCUCCUAGUUCUAAUAGGGGAUACCCACCUCCUCCUUCUGAUUUCUAUCAGCCUGAUGCUAAGAGGUUCUCUACCUCUAGCCCUAUGACUCCUUUGUUUUGCAAAUAUUAAAAAAAUUCAGGGCACACCAUUGAUAAAUGCUACAAACUUCGUAGAUACCCCUCAGAUUUCAAAUUUACAAAGGGAAAGAAAGUUCUUGCUUGUAUGUAAAAUGAUGUUUCCCUUACUGAUGACACAACUUCUUCUCUUUCUAUUACUGAGGGUGAUUAUAAGUUGUCCAAAGAACAGUUUCAGCAUUAUCUGCAUCUUCAUCAACUGUAUCAUGGUGCCUCCAUACCUGAUAGUCCUGCUGCUUCUACUUCUCCAGAUUCUGGGUAUGCUCAUUGUGCAGGUGCGUUUUAUCACCCUGCUGUCAUUUCUACUGCAUUUCAUGCAUGUGCAGUCUCUUCACUAGGGACAAAUUCUUGUAUACUUGAUUCUGGAGUUACUAAUCAUAUGACACCACACAAACAUCUUCUUCUUAAUCUCAUUCCUCUCCCCACUCAUCUUCUUAUAUCAUUACCAAAUGGAUACAGACUUAAGGUUUUGUAUACUGAAUCUUUACAACUUCAUUCAAACAUUAUCUUACAUAAUGUUCUUUUGGUUCUUUCUUUUCAAUUUAAUCUCAUAUUCAUCUACAAACCUCUUACUCAGCUUAAAUGUCAUGCACUUUUCAUUGAAUCAAAAUGUGUAUUGCAGGGCCUUUCUCAGAAGAGGCAAUUGAAAAUUGGUAGAGCUGAGAAUGAGUUAUAUUACUUCAAUGUUGAUUCCUCUCCCGUUAGUGUUUUUUUACCUUUUCCUGUUUUAUCUUAAUGUAAUCACUCUUGUAUUAUAAAUAAAACUGAUUUGUUCUGGCAUUAAAGGUUAGGUCAUCUCCCUUUUCACAAGAUGAAGUCCAUUCCCUAUUUGCUGAUAAGCUUUCUCAUUCUCAGAGUUUUCAUUGUGAUAUUUGUCCCAAGGCUAGGCAGCACAGACUUCCUUUUCCUUUAAGCUCUACUCAUUCCUCUUCUCCUUUUUAGCUUGUCCAUGUUGAUAUCUGGCCCCUAUCACACUUUUACAUAUAAUGGCUUUAGAUAUUUUUUAACCUUAGUUGAUGAUUUCACUAGAGUAACCUGAACUCAUCUUCUGGCUUCCAAGGAUAGUGCUUAUUCUAUCAUUACAUCUUUUGUUACCAUAGUCAAAGUGCAUUUCCAGUGUCCUGUUCCGAGUUUCAGAUCUGAUAAUGCCUUUGAACUGGGCAAAUGUGCUGAACUUCAGAAGUUCUUCUCUACCAAUGGCAUCCUUCAUCAAACAUUUGUUCCUCACACUCCUCAACAGAAUGAUGUCGACAUCAGCCCAAUACACAGGCCCAAUUUAUUACAUGAUCCGGGCCCAUGAAGCAUUUUUAUUUUCUUGCUAUUAUAUGUAUACACACUUGUAGAAAGUGGGACGAUCAGAUAUUUUUCAUGUUAUUGUUAUUAAUAAAAUUCUCUCUCUACAACCCUUAAGAUCUAGGGUUUUCGUUCAUCUUCCAUGGCUGCUAUCUGACGAUUGCUAACACCAACACAUCAGUCCAAUCUAUUACAUGACCCGGGCCCAUGAAGCAUUUUUAUUUUUUAUUAGUAUAAAUAACAUAAAUAUCAACCUUUUAAAAGUAAUUACACUCUCUCCCACUUUUUUAAUUACUUUACUCUCUCCCUAUUAAUAUACAUAACAUAGCCGACUUAUACAUAGCAUUCUGUGUAUAUGUGGGAUUUUUGUAAUAUGUUUAGGGAGUUGGGAUUUUUUGUAAUAUUGAAAACAUAAGUUGUGUAUUUGUGUAAUUUUUAGUUUUUAUUUUCUUGCUAUUAUAUGUAUACACACUUCUAGAAAGUGGGACAUUCGGAUAUUUUUCAUGUUUUUGUUAUUAAUAAAAUUCUCUCUCUACAAUCCUUGAGAUCUAGGGUUUUCGUUCAUCUUCCAUGGCUGCGAUCUGACGAUUACUAACACCAACAUUAUCAGAAAAACCCCAAAAAAAUUUAAAACUCCGAAAAAAUUCGAAGGUUGAAUAACCUGACUUCUUUUUAGUUUGGUUUAUAAAUUUAACCACCCGACACAAAUGGUUUGAUUUGAUUUUUAAGAAACUUGAACCAACUCGAUCCAUAUACACACCUCUACUUUUAAAUAAUGAACAUAAAGUUGGAUGACCACCCCUAAAAUUCAAAUUUUGUUUUUCAUAACAUGCACAUGCUAAUAAUAUCGUAGAGUAAAGACGUUUGAUGCUUGUGUGUGGUGUUGAGAACAUUACCAUAAUUUAACCGAAAAAAAAAGAGAACACUACCAUUUAUAACACUUGUACUAUAAACAUAACAUGACUUAAACAAACCAUGGGAGAACCUCGUUUAGUACAUCACAAUACAAACAACAACAACAACAACAAACCCAGUGUAUUCCCACUUAGUGGGGUCUGGGGGGGUAAGAUGUACGCAGUCCAUACCUCUACCUCUGAUGAAGUAGAAAGGCUGUUUCCAAAAGACCCCCGGCUCAAGUCACGAGACAUCAUACAAACACAUAGUACAGCACAGAAGCAGAUGACGUAACAUAGAUACGGCACCCAUAAAGAAUAUAAAACAGAGUAAAGCAGGAAUAUUUUAUUUAUAUGGAAAUAAUUUUAUUUUAUUUUAUUUAUACCAGAAUUUGCCCGUCGAUGGUUCCAUACGAAGGUUAUUGAAUAAGCUUUCCAAAGAUAUAAAGAUUUCCAAAAACGGAUAGGUUUCGGAUAUAAUCGAGCACCCAUCCAACGCUAGCCUCUCACACCUACGGACCGGGGCAUCCAUGCCCCUCCUUUUGACGUGUCCGAACCAUCUCAAUCGUGCUUCCCGCAUCUUACACUCCACUGAAGUCACACCAACCUUCUCCCGGAUAGUCUCAUUCCGAACUCUAUCCCCUCGGGUCAGUCCACACAUCCAGCGCAACAUCCGCAUUUCUGCCACCUUCAUUCUUUGGAUGUGGGAGUUCUUAACUGGCCAACACUCCGCUCCAUACAGCAAGGCCGGACGGACUACCACCCUAUAGAAUUUGCCUUUAAGCUUGGGCGGCACCUUCUUAUCACACAGCACCCCCGAUGCGAGUUUCCACUUCAUCCAUCCCGCCCCAAUACGGUGCGAGACAUCCUCGUCAAUCUCACCGUUACUCUGGAUCACGGACCCGAGAUACUUGAACUUAUCCCUCCCAAUACAAAGAUAAACGUAAAUAUAAUUCCAAUCCACAAGACUAGAUCAUGAGAUUUAUUUAUGAUUUCUUAAAUUCCAAGGACAAAUAUAGUUAUUAUUUGGCUUAUACUAAUCUAUAGCUGUUGUCCCACCAGAAUUGUGAUUGGAGAUAAUCC